CGGAGGGUGCAAGCGUUAAAUCGGAAUUACUGGGCGUAAAGCGCACGCAGGCGGCUUUUUAAGUCGGAUGUGAAAAGCCCCGGGCGUCAACCUGGGAAGUUGUCAUCUGAUACUGGGAAGCUAGAGUAUGUGAGAGGGGGGUAGGAGUUCCAAGUGUAGCGGUGAAAUGCGUAGAGAUUUGGAGGAAUACCAGUGGCGAAGGCGGCCCCCUGGCACAAUACUGACGCUCAGGUGCGAAAGACGUGGGGAGCAAACAGGAUU
Molecule: ribosomal RNA, 261 nt
Filed under: uncultured bacterium
Lineage: Bacteria
Description: partial 16S ribosomal RNA
Rfam family: Bacterial small subunit ribosomal RNA
Source: RNAcentral